AGCAGCCGCGGUAAUUCCAGCUCCAAUAGCGUAUAUUAAAGUUGUUGCAGUUAAAAAGCUCGUAGUUGAAUUUCGGGAUCAAUAUGUUGGUCGUGCCUCGGUACGUACUAGCUUAUUGGUUUCUCCUUUCUGAAGAACCAUGAUGUCAUUUAUUUGGUGUCGUGGGGAAUCAGGACUGUUACUUUGAAAAAAAUUAGAGUGUUUAAAGCAGGCUCACGCUUGAAUACAUUAGCAUGGAAUAAUGAAAUAGGACGUUUGAUUCUAUUUUGUUGGUUUCUAGGAUCGACGUAAUGAUUAAUAGGGAUAGUUGGGGGCAUUAGUAUUCAAUUGUCAGAGGUGAAAUUCUUGGAUUUAUUGAAGACUAACUACUGCGAAAGCAUUUGCCAAAGGAUGUUUUCAUUAAAUCAAGAACGAAAGUUAGGGGAUCGAAGACGAUCAGAUACCGUCGUAGUCUUAACCAUAAAACUAUGCCGACUAGGG
RNAcentral lists this unclassified non-coding RNA (480 nucleotides) under uncultured Glomus. RNAcentral's name for it is "SSU rRNA". It matches the Rfam family "Eukaryotic small subunit ribosomal RNA", at positions 569 to 1051 of the family's 1831-position model. Lineage: Eukaryota; Fungi; Glomeromycota; Glomeromycetes; Glomerales; Glomeraceae. The record is from RNAcentral.